GAAGCGGCAACAGCUCAAAUUUGAAAUCUGGCGCAAGCCCGAGUUGUAAUUUGCAGAGGAUGCUUCGAGGCAGCGGCCGGUCUAAGUUCCUUGGAACAGGACGUCAUAGAGGGUGAGAAUCCCGUAUGUGAUUGGCUCGCACCUCACACGUAGCUCCUUCGACGAGUCGAGUUGUUUGGGAAUGCAGCUCUAAAUGGGAGGUAAAUGUCUUCUAAAGCUAAAUACCGGCCAGAGACCGAUAGCGCACAAGUAGAGUGAUCGAAAGAUGAAAAGCACUUUGGAAAGAGAGUUAAAAAGCACGUGAAAUUGUUAAAAGGGAAGGGCAUGCAACCAGACUUGUCGGUGGUGUUCCGCCGGUCUUCUGACCGGUCUACUCGCCGCUGGCAGGCCAACAUCGUCUGGGUGCGCCGGAUAAAGGUGUCGGGAAUGUGGCCCCUCGGGGUGUUAUAGCUCGACACACAAUACGGCGCCGCUCGGGCGAGGUCCGCGCUUCGGCUAGGAUGUUGGCGUAAUGGUUGUAUGCCGCCCGUCUUGAAACACGGACCAAGGAGUCUAACAUCUAUGCGAGUGUUCGGGUGUCAAACCCCUACGCGGAAUGAAAGUGAACGGAGGUGGGAACCGCAAGGUGCACCAUCGACCGAUCCUGAUGUCUUCGGAUGGAUUUGAGUAAGAGCAUAGCUGUUGGGACCCGAAAGAUGGUGAACUAUGCCUGAAUAGGGUGAAGCCAGAGGAAACUCUGGUGGA
This 744-nucleotide ribosomal RNA is filed under the name Austroafricana sp. WQ-2013a. RNAcentral's name for it is "eukaryotic LSU rRNA". It matches the Rfam family "Eukaryotic large subunit ribosomal RNA", at positions 95 to 871 of the family's 3401-position model. RNAcentral also lists the same sequence under 1 other name. The record is from RNAcentral. Lineage: Eukaryota; Fungi; Ascomycota; Dothideomycetes; Mycosphaerellales; Teratosphaeriaceae.